GACGAACGCUGGCGGCGUGCCUAAUACAUGCAAGUCGAACGCUGAAGGAGGAGCUUGCUUCUCCGGAUGAGUUGCGAACGGGUGAGUAACGCGUAGGUAACCUGCCUGGUAGCGGGGGAUAACUAUUGGAAACGAUAGCUAAUACCGCAUAAGAGUAGAUGUCGCAUGACAUUUGCUUAAAAGGUGCAACUGCACCACUACCAGAUGGACCUGCGUUGUAUUAGCUAGUUGGUGAGGUAACGGCUCACCAAGGCAACGAUACAUAGCCGACCUGAGAGGGUGAUCGGCCACACUGGGACUGAGACACGGCCCAGACUCCUACGGGAGGCAGCAGUAGGGAAUCUUCGGCAAUGGACGGAAGUCUGACCGAGCAACGCCGCGUGAGUGAAGAAGGUUUUCGGAUCGUAAAGCUCUGUUGUAAGAGAAGAACGAGUGUGAGAGUGGAAAGUUCACACUGUGACGGUAGCUUACCAGAAAGGGACGGCUAACUACGUG
This 495-nucleotide ribosomal RNA is filed under the name uncultured bacterium. Its description in RNAcentral is "partial 16S ribosomal RNA". It matches the Rfam family "Bacterial small subunit ribosomal RNA", at positions 28 to 507 of the family's 1533-position model. The record is from RNAcentral.